RNAcentral lists this long non-coding RNA (434 nucleotides) under Zonotrichia albicollis (white-throated sparrow). Its description in RNAcentral is "lncRNA (ENSZALG00000013519.1)". Lineage: Eukaryota; Metazoa; Chordata; Aves; Passeriformes; Passerellidae. The record is from RNAcentral.
UGAAGCCUAAUGUUUUAGUAAAGCUGUCAUUCAUGCUGCUGCUCCUCUGUUUGCUUUACUACUACAUCAUAUUCUAGCCUUGAAAACCUCCUGGAUAUUGAUUUCUUUUAUGGAUUUAAAGGAACACUGCUUCAGAGUGACAACAUCGAUGGCAAACCUAAGGAAUUACCCCAGGUAUUAUGAUCAACCAGGAAAUUUUGUGGCCAAGUAUCUCUAGAGAGCAUUCAGCAGGAAAUCCAGCCAACCAGGUUCAACACUGGCUUCAAAGGGAGGAGUAUUUGUUUUCCUCUGAUUGGUUAACACCACUUUUCUGGAUUGAAUUGAGACAGAACAGCAACUCUGUUAGACUCUGGAUAAAUUGCUUCAGCUUUCUGGCAGAAUUCCACAGUCCUUCACAACAACAGAAUGUCAAGGAUCUGUAUCUCCAGCUCUGA